Long non-coding RNA from Amphimedon queenslandica, 292 nucleotides. RefSeq lists it as uncharacterized. The transcript is spliced from 3 exons. The record is from RefSeq and is a predicted model, not a curated record. NCBI's taxonomy places the organism in Eukaryota, Metazoa, Porifera, Demospongiae, Haplosclerida, Niphatidae.
CGUGUCUGUAUCACGUGAAAAUUUGAGCCGCGCCCCUUAACGAAGUUGACUUGAAGUUCUAAAGCUGUGACUAUAGACCCUGAUUUGAACUAGCUUCAGAAGAAGGAGGAGCGGGAGCGAAGAACUAUUAUAGACGCCAUUUAAAACAUGGCUGAUAUUGAAAAUGGAGGAGGAGAGAAACCUGAGAAGGAGUCCAUCAUUAUUAAUUCAUUCACCAAGUCAUUUAAGAAGAUACUCGAGAGAGACUUUGAUGAAGAAUUUACCAAGGAUUCUGUUGAUAAAUUGAAAAAGA